RNAcentral lists this ribosomal RNA (235 nucleotides) under Staphylococcus aureus. RNAcentral describes it as "partial 23S ribosomal RNA". It matches the Rfam family "Bacterial large subunit ribosomal RNA", at positions 26 to 258 of the family's 2925-position model. The record is from RNAcentral. Lineage: Bacteria; Bacillati; Bacillota; Bacilli; Caryophanales; Staphylococcaceae.
GGAUGCCUUGGCACUAGAAGCCGAUGAAGGACGUUACUAACGACGAUAUGCUUUGGGGAGCUGUAAGUAAGCUUUGAUCCAGAGAUUUCCGAAUGGGGAAACCCAGCAUGAGUUAUGUCAUGUUAUCGAUAUGUGAAUACAUAGCAUAUCAGAAGGCACACCCGGAGAACUGAAACAUCUUAGUACCCGGAGGAAGAGAAAGAAAAUUCGAUUCCCUUAGUAGCGGCGAGCGAAA